Long non-coding RNA from Pogoniulus pusillus (Red-fronted tinkerbird), 873 nucleotides. RefSeq lists it as uncharacterized. The transcript has 2 exons. NCBI's taxonomy places the organism in Eukaryota, Metazoa, Chordata, Aves, Piciformes, Lybiidae. The record is from RefSeq and is a predicted model, not a curated record.
AGUGGCAGGUUAGGGAGCUGCAGCUGAGUCCAAAGCCAGCCAGAAAGUGAAGACAAAAUGGCGAGAGCGUUAUCUAAUGUUUUCCCUUCUUGUUCCCAUACCUCUCAGCAAGACUGUGAGGGAAGUUGACAUCACAAUUGUUUUCCUUUCACAGCCUAUGAUGUAGUUCUUCUCACCAAAACAUUCUAGCUAGCUUCAAACUAGCACAACCCACCCCUGUCUACUUCACUCAGAGUAUCGCUGAGAAUUAUCUGAUCUAAUCUAAACCAAUAUUUACACUAAAACAAUAUUUACAAGUUCAGUUCACACUUCAUUGCGGCUAUCUCAGAUGUAGGUGAUUCAAAAGCUCAGAACAGUUUGUCUCCUCACAGAUGAGACAAGAACAGGGACUCCCAGGUGACGUUGGGUUCAUGCUCAUGUACUGUAAAUUCUCUCAUAGAUUCUCUCAGUGUUGGACGCCGAUGGUACCUAGAACAGAAAACUCCUAACAGCUUGUAUUAUACACUCUGAAUUUAGACUCUGUCAGCUAAGUCACGCUGAGAACUCUGGGAAGAAGAAGUAAACAUUCUCCAUUUUGUCUUUCAUUCUGCCUUUGUCUUCAGACCUGGUCGCAUCUCCUUAACCCCACUGCCGCUAACCUUCCUUCUUGACCUCUUGGCUGCACCUCUAUUCUUCCUGGGAACUGGGGUAAGGUUGAGAGGGGCCAGGGAAGGUGUUGGGGUGGUUUGAGAGCCCCUCCUGGGGACUCAGGUUUCUGGGAGGGGAGUUGUGCUUCUGUGUUGUUUAUACUGUGUAUAUUUCUGUAUAUAACUGUAUAUAUUGUAAAUAGCUGCUUGUGUAUUUGCUGCUUGUAAAUAAAUAGCUUCAUUUAUA